This 254-nucleotide ribosomal RNA is filed under the name uncultured bacterium. Its description in RNAcentral is "partial 16S ribosomal RNA". It matches the Rfam family "Bacterial small subunit ribosomal RNA", at positions 524 to 776 of the family's 1533-position model. The record is from RNAcentral.
UACGUAGGGUGCAAGCGUUUGUCCGGAAUUAUUGGGCGUAAAGAGCUCGUAGGCGGUUUGUUGCGUCGGCUGUGAAAACCCGGGGCUCAACCCCGGGCCUGCAGCCGAUACGGGCAGACUAGAGUUCGGCAGGGGAGACUGGAAUUCCUGGUGUAGCGGUGAAAUGCGCAGAUAUCAGGAGGAACACCGGUGGCGAAGGCGGGUCUCUGGGCCGAUACUGACGCUGAGGAGCGAAAGCGUGGGGAGCGAACAGG